This 466-nucleotide ribosomal RNA is filed under the name uncultured bacterium. Its description in RNAcentral is "partial 16S ribosomal RNA". It matches the Rfam family "Bacterial small subunit ribosomal RNA", at positions 28 to 507 of the family's 1533-position model. The record is from RNAcentral.
GACGAACGCUGGCGGCGUGCUUAACACAUGCAAGUCGAACGGAAAGGCCCUGCUUGCAGGGUACUCGAGUGGCGAACGGGUGAGUAACACGUGGGUGAUCUGCCUUGCACUUCGGGAUAGGCCUCGGCAACUGGGUCUAGUACCGGAUAGGAGCUAUUUUUAGUGGGAUGGUUGGAUAGUUUUUUUCGGUGUUGGAUUAGCUGGCGGCCUAACCGCUUGUUGGUGGGGUAAUGGCCUACCAAGGCGGCGACGGGUAGCCGGCCUGAGAGGGUGGACGGCCACAUAGGCACUGAGAGACGGCACAGACACCUACGGGAGGCAGAAGGGGGGAAUAUUGAACAAGGGGCGCAAGCCUGAUGCAGCGACGCCGCGUGGGGGAUGACGGCCUUCGGGUGGAAAACUACUUUCGCUAGGGACGAAGCUUUUUGUGACGGUACCUAGAUAAGAAGCACCGGCUAACUACGUG